ACAGACUCCUACGGGAGGCAGCAGUGAGGAAUAUUGGUAAAUGGCCGAGAGGCUGAACCAGCCAAGUCGCGUGAGGGAAGACGGCACUACGGGUUGUAAACCUCUUUUGUCGGGGAGCAAAGCGAACCACGUGUGGUUCAUUGAGAGUACCCGAAGAAAAAGCAUCGGCUAACUCCGUGCCAGCAGCCGCGGUAAUACGGAGGAUGCGAGCGUUAUCCGGAUUUAUUGGGUUUAAAGGGUGCGUAGGCGGACAGUCAAGUCAGCGGUAAAAAUGCGGUGCUCAACGCCGUACAGCCGUUGAAACUGGCAGUCUUGAGUGGGCGAGAAGUAUGCGGAAUGCGUGGUGUAGCGGUGAAAUGCA
This 361-nucleotide ribosomal RNA is filed under the name uncultured bacterium. RNAcentral describes it as "bacterial SSU rRNA". It matches the Rfam family "Bacterial small subunit ribosomal RNA", at positions 331 to 690 of the family's 1533-position model. The record is from RNAcentral.